AACGAACGCUGGCGGCAGGCUUAACACAUGCAAGUCGAACGAGAUCUUCGGAUCUAGUGGCAGACGGGUGAGGAACACGUGGGAACAUCCCUUUCAGUUCGGAAUAACGUUGGGAAACUAACGCUAAUACCGGAUACGUCCUUCGGGAGAAAGAUUUAUCGCUGAAAGAUUGGCCCGCGUCUGAUUAGCUAGUUGGUGAGGUAAUGGCUCACCAAGGCUACGAUCAGUAGCUGAUCUGAGAGGAUGAUCAGCCACAUUGGGACUGAGACACGGCCCAAACUCCUACGGGAGGCAGCAGUGGGGAAUAUUGGACAAUGGGCGCAAGCCUGAUCCAGCCAUGCCGCGUGAGUGAUGACGGCCUUCGGGUUGUAAAGCUCUUUUGUCCGGGAAGAUAAUGACUGUACCCGGAGAAGAAGCCCCGGCUAACUUCGUGCCAGCAGCCGCCGUAA
This 449-nucleotide ribosomal RNA is filed under the name uncultured bacterium. Its description in RNAcentral is "partial 16S ribosomal RNA". It matches the Rfam family "Bacterial small subunit ribosomal RNA", at positions 29 to 523 of the family's 1533-position model. The record is from RNAcentral.